CCACGGGGGGAAGGGAACCCCGGGAACUGGGGAUAAUACCCCAUAGACUAUAGAUGCUGGAAUGCUUUGUAUUUGAAAGGUCCGCCACCAUAGGAUGGGUCUGCGGCCGAUUAGGUUGUUGUUGGGGUAACGGCCCAACAAGCCUGUAAUCGGUACGGGUUGUGGGAGCAAGAGCCCGGAGAUGGAUUCUGAGACACGAAUCCAGGCCCUACGGGGCGCAGCAGGCGCGAAAACUUUACAAUGCGGGAAACCGUGAUAAGGGAACUCCGAGUACCCGUAAAAUCGGGCUGUCCAUCUGUUUAAAUAACAGGUGAAGAAAGGGCCGGGCAAGACCGGUGCCAGCCGCCGCGGUAAUACCGGCGGCUCGAGUGGUGGCCACUAUUACUGGGCUUAAAGCGUCCGUAGCUGGUCUGUUAAGUCUCUGGGGAAAUCUACUGGCUUAACCAAUAGGCGUCUCAGGGAUACUGGCAGACUAGGGACCGGGAGAGGUGAGAGGUACUCCAGGGGUAGGAGUGAAAUCCUGUAAUCCUUGGGGGACCACCUGUGGCGAAGGCGUCUCACCAGAACGGCUCCGACAGUGAGGGACGAAAGCUGGGGGAGCAAACCGGAUUAGAUACCCGGGUAGUCCCAGCCGUAAACGAUGCGCGUUAGGUGUAUCGGUGACCACGAGUCACCGAGGUGCCGAAGAGAAAUCGUGAAACGUGCCGCCUGGGAAGUACGGUCGCAAGGCUGAAACUUAAAGGAAUUGGCGGGGGGAGCAC
RNAcentral lists this ribosomal RNA (761 nucleotides) under uncultured archaeon. Its description in RNAcentral is "bacterial SSU rRNA". It matches the Rfam family "Archaeal small subunit ribosomal RNA", at positions 114 to 879 of the family's 1478-position model. The record is from RNAcentral.